CUUUACAAAGCCAAACAUCUGGGAUGGAUGAUUACAAGCAACACAAUGAAAUUGCACCUCAGCUGCAGUAUGUUCAUUCCUGAUAUAAGAUUCUCUUAAUCCACAAUCAACAUGGCACCAAUGAAGACAGACAUCACAUCCAACCCAACUACAAGUAUUGGACGCCAUGUCAAAUUUUGAACAUACAAGACACAUACAAGCACUACAAAAACCAUUCUUCUUUGAGCAAGCCUUGCACUCACAAUCUUCCGCAGGCAGAGAAGUCUGGCACAUGAGAUUUCUGCAUCGUAGGUUCAGAAAGAUCUCAGCUAAAUUAGAAGAUGGAAUUCUGUCAU
RNAcentral lists this long non-coding RNA (335 nucleotides) under Gossypium raimondii (Peruvian cotton). RNAcentral's name for it is "long non-coding RNA (GRAI_LNC003105)". The record is from RNAcentral. Lineage: Eukaryota; Viridiplantae; Streptophyta; Magnoliopsida; Malvales; Malvaceae.